AUUGAACGCUGGCGGCAUGCCUAACACAUGCAAGUCGAGCGAAUGAAGGGAGCUUGCUCCUGGAUUCCGUUGCCGACGGGUGGGUAAUGCCUAGGAAUCUGCCCUGUCUUUGGGGAUAACGUCCCGUCACGGGCGCUGAUACCACAUCCGUUCAUAUAUAGAACCGGGUGGAUCUUCGGUCCUCGCGGGAUCUGAUGUGCCUAAUUGGGAUUACCAAGCCGGAUUAGCUAGUUGGUAAGGUAACGGCCUACCAAGGCGACGAUGCGUAGCUGACCUGAGAGGGUGAUCAGCCACACUGGAACUGAGACACGGUCCAGACUCCUACGGGAGGCAGCAGUGGGGAAUAUUGGGCAAUGGGCGAAAGCCUGAUCGAGCAACGCCGCGUGAGUGAAGAAGGUCUUCGGAUUGUAAAGCACUGUAAGUUGGGAGGAAGGGAAGUAAGUUAAUCCAUGGCUGUUUUGACGUUACCAAAAGAAUAAGCACCGGCUAACUUCGUG
Molecule: ribosomal RNA, 497 nt
Filed under: uncultured bacterium
Lineage: Bacteria
Description: partial 16S ribosomal RNA
Rfam family: Bacterial small subunit ribosomal RNA
Source: RNAcentral